GUUGCUUGGCUACGGCUCUUUGCUGGAGCCUGCCCGGCGCAGUUCGCGUGAUUAAGCAAAUGCCUUUCCUGGUGCUAGUAGGAACUCUCACCACCACCACCCCCAUUCCCCUCCAACCUUUGCUAGAGGAGAGAAGCCAGAGCCUGGAGGCCAAGUCCUUCAAACUCCAUUGCGACUCCUCCCGGCAGGGCGCGGCCUAAAGCCCACGGCGGAACGCUGGACUUAGACCAGGGAUGUCAGCAGGUCUGUCUGUCGGAGCAGAGGCUCUCCGGAAAAGGAAUACAGCUGGCAUCAAUCAGAUCCACAUCCCUGAGAGGACUGCAUCAACUCUUUUGGAAACUGUCUUCCCACCUUGAUGCCCUGCGCUGUGCAGCUUCUGAAAAUGACACACAGGGAACUUCACCCUGACCAGGAAAAUCAAGGCUCUGAGAACUAGUUUAUUUUCUUGGAACAGAUAUGUUUUUCCCUAGUGCCAUAGAAAACAAUACAUAUAAAUAAAAAGGCAGUGUUUCUGUGGAAAAUAAAAGUACAUAAAUAAAUACUAAAAAAAAAAA
This 554-nucleotide long non-coding RNA is filed under the name Mus musculus (house mouse). RNAcentral describes it as "RIKEN cDNA 0610009E02 gene, transcript variant 3 (0610009E02Rik)". The record is from RNAcentral. Lineage: Eukaryota; Metazoa; Chordata; Mammalia; Rodentia; Muridae.